GGGUCCCUCAGGACCUGUGCCGCCACCAUGGGAGAUUCCUGCCCCGGACACGUGGUAGACGUCCCGAGGAUGUGCGGGCAGCUUCAAGCCGGCCCCAUCUGCCACGGGGCUCUUCAGUUGUGAGGCCGGGCACCCUGCCCCCCGGAGGGAAGCUCUCCAGGGCUGACAGGAUGGGAGCCCGGACACGGAAUGACAGGCGGAGAUGGUGGCAGCAGGCUCCCUGCUCUGGGCCCUGCAGGGUGGGCGUCCCAGCGGCACAGUCGGCGGCUGGCCCGGCCUCUCCAUCAGCAGCCAGGUAAUUCGUGUCCCUUUCUGGCCGUGAGAGCAGAUCAC
Molecule: long non-coding RNA, 333 nt
Filed under: Neogale vison (American mink)
Lineage: Eukaryota; Metazoa; Chordata; Mammalia; Carnivora; Mustelidae
Description: Neovison vison (American mink) lncRNA (ENSNVIG00000010711.1)
Source: RNAcentral